GGGCCGCUAGCUCAAAGGGAGAGCCCCCGGUUUGCACCCGGAAGAUGCCGGUUCGAGCCCGGCGUGGUCCA
Molecule: transfer RNA, 71 nt
Filed under: Pseudenhygromyxa salsuginis
Lineage: Bacteria; Pseudomonadati; Myxococcota; Nannocystales; Nannocystaceae
Also listed under: 1 other name
Description: tRNA-Ala
Rfam family: tRNA
About the family: Transfer RNA (tRNA) molecules are approximately 80 nucleotides in length. Their secondary structure includes four short double-helical elements and three loops (D, anti-codon, and T loops).
Source: RNAcentral